RNAcentral lists this non-coding RNA (273 nucleotides) under Pediculus humanus corporis (human body louse). Lineage: Eukaryota; Metazoa; Arthropoda; Insecta; Psocodea; Pediculidae. The record is from RNAcentral.
GCCGGAAGUGGUGGUGUACUCCUGUAAUCCAGGUACUCGAAGCCUAGAUAUAGAUGUUUUAAGAGCUGGGAUUCUAGGAUUGGAUUUUUCACUUUAACUGUGCGUCCGCUAGAGGUAAAUCUUCAACUUGGAUGCCUUGUGGGAGCCCGAGGUAGCCAGGUUGAAAAGAGGAAAAGUCGGCCCAAAAGUCACCGAGUUGAGAGUUGUGGAUUCAAAUCCUGGGAGGCGGAGUUCAAUUUCAGAUCGUCCAAACAAGAACAGACCUGUACCUAA